AACUAGGCAAAAUGGUGCCGUAACUUCGGGAGAAGGCACGCUGACACGUAGGUGAAGUGAUUUACUCAUGGAGCUGAAGUCAGUCGAAGAUACCAGCUGGCUGCAACUGUUUAUUAAAAACACAGCACUGUGCAAACACGAAAGUGGACGUAUACGGUGUGACGCCUGCCCGGUGCCGGAAGGUUAAUUGAUGGGGUCAGCGCAAGCGAAGCUCCUGAUCGAAGCCCCGGUAAACGGCGGCCGUAACUAUAACGGUCCUAAGGUAGCGAAAUUCCUUGUCGGGUAAGUUCCGACCUGCACGAAUGGCGUAAUGAUGGCCAGGCUGUCUCCACCCGAGACUCAGUGAAAUUGAACUCGCUGUGAAGAUGCAGUGUACCCGCGGCAAGACGGAAAGACCCCGUGAACCUUUACUAUAGCUUGACACUGAACAUUGAGCCUUGAUGUGUAGGAUAGGUGGGAGGCUUUGAAGUGUGGACGCCAGUCUGCAUGGAGCCGACCUUGAAAUACCACCCUUUAAUGUUUGAUGUUCUAACGUGGACCCGUGAUCCGGGUUGCGGACAGUGUCUGGUGGGUAGUUUGACUGGGGCGGUCUCCUCCUAAAGAGUAACGGAGGAGCACGAAGGUUGGCUAAUCCUGGUCGGACAUCAGGAGGUUAGUGCAAUGGCAUAAGCCAGCUUGACUGCGAGCGUGACGGCGCGAGCAGGUGCGAAAGCAGGUCAUAGUGAUCCGGUGGUUCUGAAUGGAAGGGCCAUCGCUCAACGGAUAAAAGGUACUCCGGGGAUAACAGGCUGAUACCGCCCAAGAGUUCAUAUCGACGGCGGUGUUUGGCACCUCGAUGUCGGCUCAUCACAUCCUGGGGCUGAAGUAGGUCCCAAGGGUAUGGCUGUUCGCCAUUUAAAGUGGUACGCGAGCUGGGUUUAGAACGUCGUGAGACAGUUCGGUCCCUAUCUGCCGUGGGCGCUGGAGAACUGAGGGGGGCUGCUCCUAGUACGAGAGGACCGGAGUGGACGCAUCACUGGUGUUCGGGUUGUCAUGCCAAUGGCACUGCCCGGUAGCUAAAUGCGGAAGAGAUAAGUGCUGAAAGCAUCUAAGCACGAAACUUGCCCCGAGAUGAGUUCUCCCUGAGACUUUAGGUCUCCUGAAGGAACGUUGAAGACGACGACGUUGAUAGGCCGGGUGUGUAAGCGCAGCGAUGCGUUGAGCUAACCGGUACUAAUGAACCGUGAGGCUUAACCUUACAACGCCGAAG
RNAcentral lists this ribosomal RNA (1249 nucleotides) under Salmonella enterica. RNAcentral's name for it is "partial 23S ribosomal RNA". It matches the Rfam family "Bacterial large subunit ribosomal RNA", at positions 1711 to 2925 of the family's 2925-position model. The record is from RNAcentral. Lineage: Bacteria; Pseudomonadati; Pseudomonadota; Gammaproteobacteria; Enterobacterales; Enterobacteriaceae. RNAcentral also lists the same sequence under 1 other name.